AAAUGAAGGAAAAGUAAAAUUAAACACAGAAAAAAGCUGUUGCUUGGGGGAGCUUGCGACAAGGCUGCCAUACUCGGCACCAUCUUGAGGUGUUCUUGUCAGUGCUCGGUCCUAUCAGUUACGGCGUUUAGUCCGUUUACAGAAAGGACAUGAAGCAGCUUGAAGUCAGGUGUAGAUCCAAAAGUCACAAUCAAUGUGGACAAAAUGAAAGAGAGUGAUUUCAGGAGGCCCGGCAAAGAUCACCACACAGACCUCACCACAAAUGGUGCUGCUGUGGACAGGGUGAGUAGUGUUUAGUUCCUGGGUAUACUUUUGUUAAACGUCUGAAAGUCUACUCUUCAGUCACAUGCUGGAUUCUUGGUUUCCUCUGUGAUGAUGUACAGAAGCAAAAUGAUAAAGUCCAAAAUCUCUUACUGCUGAUGUGAGACCAGCUGAGUCUCUGUUUCCUCCAACAGGCCAAAGAGCUGCAGAUGCUCAACGACCUUCGCAAACUCUUCAUCGAUGACAUCGGAGCUCGAAUCAAGAAUAGUUCAGAGAAUGACAACGAUGAGGCUGGUGGCAGUUUGGCUCAGAGACAGAGGAUCGUCUUCUUAGAAAAUAACUUGGAGCAGCUCAGCAGGGUCCACAAGCAGGUGAGUGAUCUCACCUAGUCUCUAAGCCCUACCCACAGGGUCACCCUCAACUGGUGUCUCCCCCAUUGGAAGUUUGUGUUUCAGUUUUUAAAACCAGGAUCUUUAGUGUGGGUCUGUCAUUGACAGGUCACUCUGUGAUUGGAUGUUUGCUGAUGUUGUGUUUGUUGGCAAUUAUUUCUUUAAAUAUGACAGAGUACAGAUCCUGCAGUGAAGCUUGUGUCUCCAGCUGUGAUCCUCUGUGUGACCAUGUGAAUAAGAAGCAGUCUCUCAGGUAUAAUAGUGCAUAAAAGCCUAAGAAUUUAGACGUGUAGACAGUGUAGAAGCUUCCAGGUGAAGGGACACUAAGUCCUAUGAUAAGGUGGAGACUUAGGCAGUGAUGGGAAUAACGGCCUGUGAUUACAAGUAACGCCGUUAAUUUUUUCAGUAACGACUAAUCUAACUAAUUACUAUUUCUAUCGUAACGCAGUUACCGUUACUAACAAGAAAAUGCGGUGGCGUUACUAUUUUUCAACAAACAGACGGUUGAAGCUGUGUUCAGUUGACCACAUCUUAUAUCAGUUGCAUGGAAAUAGCUGUAAGUAAUGUGGGCGCUACAGCUUUCAGCAGCUCCGCACGUUCCCGCUGACAGCAAUCACUUUCUGCCUGAUGAUCACUUUUUCUCACAACACCUGCAGCUUAGGGUGCAAAACAAUCGCACGAGUGCUGCUGUUUGACUGAGGAAGAAUAAAGUAGUCGUGGUAAGCCAAUCACAUGACCACUUAAAGACAAAGCAACAAGGUGACAUAUACCCAGAGGUGGGUCGAGUGUCCAAAAAUUGUACUUAAGUAAGAGUAGCAUUACUUUAAAAUAUUAUUACUC
Molecule: long non-coding RNA, 1490 nt
Organism: Haplochromis burtoni (Burton's mouthbrooder)
Lineage: Eukaryota; Metazoa; Chordata; Actinopteri; Cichliformes; Cichlidae
Exons: 2
Source: RefSeq, a predicted model, not a curated record